Molecule: long non-coding RNA, 7118 nt
Organism: Mustela erminea (ermine)
Lineage: Eukaryota; Metazoa; Chordata; Mammalia; Carnivora; Mustelidae
Exons: 2
Source: RefSeq, a predicted model, not a curated record
UUUUUGAAAGCAGCUCGUGACCCCGAAACUGCAUCCCCUGGAGCCGAGGACCCAGGCGCCGGGCGGGCGGGUGAACCCAGCCAGUCCCCUCCCCGUCCCCACAACCCCCGCCUCCGGGUGGGGGCGACUCGGCCUCUCCCCGCCGCUGCCUAGCUAGCCCCGGAGGGAGCCUGGGCAGGUGCCGCGGGCUCUGCCGAAAGUGCUGAAAUCGAAAACCGUCACCACUCAAGGAGAACUGAGGCAAGUGGGGCUGCGACUCAGCUCGGCGACACCCCUGUCCCCAGCCUUGGCCUGGGCGCCUGCCGAUACGCCGCACCCCGCCGGCUAGGGUGGCAGCCGCGACUCGAGAGUGCAGAGCCGUACGGAGGGCGGCUUCGAGGCGCGCAGCUUUGUGCGCUGGGACAGGGCCCGGCGCCACGGGUCCGGCGGUCAGCCCCGGGCUGUCAAGACACUUCCAGCAGAACCGAGCCCCGCGCCGCCCACGGAGUCCACCUCACGGCCCGGCGGCCGCCAGCGCUUCUCCGCUCUGGCCCGAAGCACGACGCCCGCCGCCGGGAGCCCGUAAGUUGAGAGUCGCGAGAGCUGGGGGGCAGAGGGGGGAAGGCGGGGUGGCCGGUCCUCGGCGCGGAUGGCUGGUGCAGCUGGGAGCGCAGGCUCCGAGGGGUCCGGGUCUGGGAGUGCUGACCGUGUGGGGGAGGGGGCUAUGGAGCACUAGAGCUUCCCCUCCCAAAUUCCCAGGCGCUGGGCUUUGGGGAGGGGCGUAGGAGCCCAAGGACCUCGGAUUCUGGGGCCCAGGAGCCUUUCCCGCCGUUCUGGGGGCCCGAGGCAGUAGGCAGCGGGAGGGCAGAGAGCUGAGCCGGGAGGACAUCUGGAGGGGUAGCGCGCAGGGGGGCGCCAGCACCUAGGGUCUCUCAGAGUGUAGAGAUUGGGAUGAACGUGGCAGCCCGCGGGGCCUGUAAGUCUCCCCUGCCCUCUGGCCGCUCAGACUCCCGGAUCUGGAACUUGGAGCCCGUACUGGCAGAGGUCACAAAAUUGCCACCACCGUCUCUGCUUUAAUCCUGGGCCCGGCAACCGGCAGAACUGCGUACAGGUGGGGCGGGGAGAAAGGGCGUUUGAGCCGGCGAGUGUCUUUCCCGUACUAGGACCUACGGGACAUUUAUUUACAAAUUAGCCCCAAGCCCAGCAGUCUAACUCCACCGUGAGAGGUGCCUGAAAGACCCACUCCUUCCUUGGCGUAAUGCGGAAAGCCAAGAGGUCCGCAAACCUGCCGACGGGAGCAGCUACACCCACUGGGCCUUGCUCAGCUGUGGAGGGCCGGUUUGUACUGGGGGGGGGGGGAGUAACGGCCCUUCCGGCCCCCAGGAUGUCAGGAGGCAGGGGCUGGUCCCGGGGCCCGCGGUUUGGGCCUCCCCGCAAGCUGCAAACCGAGGCGCAUGGCGUGGGCGGCCGAUGAGGGCGCAGGGGAGUGCAGCACGUAGGCGGGGAGGCCUCGAAGCCCUUCAAGGACCCCGAUUACUUUCCUUUGAAUGAAAAACAACAACAACAACAACAACUGCUCCCUCCCUGCCCCCACCCCCCCAGCCUUAGCCUCCCGGGACCCGCGCUCCAAGCGAUUGUCGCCUGGGACAGUAAACACAGCUCAGUUGCCUCAACUUUCACCGCACAUAAAAGUUCCUGGCGUGCGGAGAAAUUUGAAUAUUUGAUCAGCCCCUUUGAGUGACCCUCAUUAGCUUGGCGCCCUGCUAAGGCCCCGGCAUCGCAAAAAAGCUGCUGGGCCCGGCAUUUGUAUGCCUUGUUAGCGCCGCUUAAUGAAGCUGCCCCGACGGCUCAAAGGCUGCCUCCGGGGCGGGCGCUGCGUACCUCUCGGCACCCCACUCUGCCUAAUGAGCCCCACCGCCCGCUGUAGGCCCCUCCACCCCCCACAUCCUCAAACAAGACAAGUUUGGCUCUCUCUUGGGCCACCGCACCUCCCACUGCCAGGCUCAGGAGAGAGGGCACAAUCCCUUCCCAGUUGGCUGUGCAGACCCAGCCCUGAGAGAGAGAGAGAGAGAGAGAGAGAUGGGAGACUUGGGAGUUGUGAGUGAUAGGGGCUGGGGAGGACGCCUGUGGCCUCAGGUUCUAGUCCAGGGAGUGCACUACCAACCUCUCCCAAGAGGGCUAAUUUCAAAUCAUUUACCCUAUUUCCUUAAAGAUGCAUCUGAACUAGUGCUGGGGUGGCAGGGGGCAGAUGUCCAGGGGAGGCUCAGUUUCCCAUCUUCCUCCCUACCCAAGUUCCUUUGGGUUCCAAAGCCCAGGAGACGGGCUACUUCUCUGCAGAGAUCUCUUGAGAGUUCCAGAACUGGUGUGCUAAGGCUUGAAUUUGAGAAGGGUAGGCACACUCAACUCCUCAAACUAUCGUUGCCCCUCCAUCUCAGACCCCAAACAAACACAGCUGGCACUAGGAAAGUGAUGUGUUAUAGCCUACCUUGUCCCACUUCCCCUGCCCCAGAAAACCAAGCCUUCUCUGGUCUCCUUUAAUCAUGCUUCCAGUCCUUGGGAAGCUUAAAGAAAAACAUUUAAGCAGGGUUUCCCUGUACAGGACCACUGGCUGCUAGGGCAAGAUGGGACUAAAACAGGCCCGAGGGAGAACUAUGUAAGGUAGUGGGACCAAAGCCACCAGCUACCUCCUGUUUUCUCAGUGGGACAAGUCACAUGAUUGGUGAGCAAAUCUAAGGAGCACAGUUAAAAGUUGGGCUGAAAAAGGAGUAGACUCCCUCUCUGUUCCUUCUGUCCUCCCAUGCCCAGUUCACUGGACAGUUGUCCCUCAAGAUCCUUCCUUACACACCCAGCUCUUGGGCUUUUAAGGGUUACUUUUGGGGCUUGGGAAGCGGUCUUCUCUCAGAUCCACACUCUGGGCCUUCUGGAGAUGCCCCCCACUACAAACUCACAAUCCCUUAGAUACACAGCUGGCUGGCCAGCUUGGUAACUUCAGUACUCUAUUCCAGGGUGGCCACCUCUAAGAAUGAGUGGCACCCAGCCAGCCCUCACCCUCUGCCAAAAGGCCAGUGAGGCUCUGGGGUAGCGGAGCCUUCUAAGUCCUGGUCCGUUUCUUUCCCCCAGCUCAACGGGCAUGCCCCGCCCCAUUUCCCAUCCCAGGACCCCCUAAUUCAAGCCCAAACUGAGGAUCUUUAGGGAAUCACCUCUGCCCUGGGCAGGACGGUGCCUUGGGCCUUGAUCCGUGCAAAGGGCAAAGGUAGGAACCGGCAAGCGAAGAAUGAACGAUGUUGGAGAGAAAGGGGACCUGGAGUAGGGGUAAAACUCAGCCCUAUGGCCCUAAGGCCAGGCCCACCAACUGCUCAGGGGAGGAGGUGAAGGGAGGGGGCUAGGAGUCCGCAGGCAUCGGUCGGGGCAGCAGGGACCUAAGGCGUCGGCGUGGGGGGCUAGAUCCAGAGGAGAGGGGCGGGGAGGCGGGGGUCGGGGGAGCGCGCAGGACGGAGGGGGGGGGGUGGUACGGCUCUUUAAGAGCCACAUGGCUGGCAGGAGAAGCGCGCGGCCUGGUGCUGGUAGCGCAUUGACCCCGAAGGGGAUUUAGCGGGAAGGGAGCGGCCGGGCUCCGGUGGCUUUGUCCGGGGGCGACCAGAGAGGCCGAGGCACAAGAAUACCGAGCGACCGCGUCAUGAAAGGCCGCGCCAAAGCGGCGGCGCUGCCGCUCUUGACUUCUGAGCAGGGCUUAGAAAGCUUGUCUCGGCUUAAGCCAUACUGCCGGCGCUGGACCCUGAGCGCCGAGUCCGCGGACUCAGAGCCCCCGACCUCGGAGCGGAGAGAUGAGGGGGAACUGGGGUGGCAGGGGACGUGGCAAAGCUGCUUUUGGCUCUACAGCCACCUGACCCUAGCUCAAGAGCUACUAGCCUGACUGGCAGCGCCAGGGGAUGGCCAGAGCAAAAAUUUUCCUUUUCCAACUUCGGCUUUUGAUUUUGUGUGUCCACUUCGAGAAGCUGCGGAGCCGGCUGACUCCAAAUGGAUUCCCAACAGGUGGCCGGGUUGCCCACGCACGCAGUCCUUGCAAGCGCGGGGUCUCGAGUCUCAUCUCCCAAGCCGAGCCGCGAGCGGAGCCGCCCUCCUGCUCCCCCAGCUCCCCGGCUGUCAAGAGCCCUUCCGCCCGGUCACCCGUCCCCCGAGAAUGACUGCGGGAGCUGGGAGGGCCCCCAGGUCUGGGGCUCAGGGAAGAUCUUACCUGCGAAAAGGUAAGGGAAGCCGGGAGCAGGAAGCAGCGGCGGAUAAAUAUUCAUUAGGAAGUGUAAGUGUCUCCUUUUAAACCGCGCGGCGCGCGCUCUCGCUCCUCUCUCUCUUUCCCUCCCUCCCUCUGUCCUCUUCUGAGGCUCUCUCCCCCUCUCGCUCAGCCUCCCCCCCCUUUCCUGCGAAAUGCCGGGUGGUUCCUCGUCUAGCUAACCUGUUGGGAAGCCUGAGCCCUGGGCAGCGCCUCCACAGCUGCUUUCCUUCGCUCUUGGGGCGCGCGAUCCCCAUCCUCCCUCCCUCCUUUCGCCCAGCCCCUCACCCCUCCUAAAUUACUACAUCAUUAGCUUUAUUUUCCAGGGGUAGGGGGUGGUAGAGGCGCAGCCCGGCGCAUUUCCCCAAAGCAGGGCGAAAAGCUGGCGCGAUCUGAGUCUGCCCCAACUCCAUCCCCACUUCACAUGCCCACCCUACAACCCCACCCAGUCUUCUUUUUUCCCCUCCUGCCAUCUCCACCUCCAUCCUAGAUCAACCUAAGUCCCCCAUCCCCCGUUCCCUCGCCGCCACCAAUCUGGAUCCUCGGCUGGGUCCGUAGUGAGAUGCCAGGUCUGCAGGUCCAACCCUCCUGCCGAGAUUGGAACUUCAAUCUGCACUGGGUGUGGGGAUAGCUCUCUGAGUCCCCCUUUCCCGCUUAGGUUUUGUAGCUUCACCCUGAGGGAACACCUGGGCACCUUGGGCUUUAGGAUCAAAACGCGGGGUACACAUUCAGCGCCUCACGUCGCCAGGCCUCAGGGCCCCAGGACCAUAAACCUUUGGCCGCGCCUGGGAGGCUGCGUGGAAGGUGGGGAAGAGGCGGCCUCACUUUAUGCGACUGGGCAGGAGAGACAGAUCCACCAAACGAUGGACUGACAAUGGCCUUUUAUGAACAAACUGACCUGAAGUUACACGCAAGUCCGCAUCUUUCUCCCUCACGCUCAAGAGAAAAUACAUCAACAGGAUUCCAGGAAGGCACAAGUCCUCGCACAAUCCAUCUGAGAAUCGCUUGCAGCGGCAGGCAAGCACGCACACCCCCCCAUCCCCAUCUCCUCUUGCCCCAGGCCAGCGCUUCUCCUGCCCCCGAGACUAGAAGGCCAGCGUGCUCACAAGGUGGCUCCCAGAAGAGGUGUAUGUCGCUGGACUGUUGCAGGACGGCCUUGGCCACCCUUCUCCCCGCUCCAACCCUCUAGGCCACUCCAAGGGCUCCAAGAGAUGGCGUGGUCCCAAAGCGUUAGGGGGUGGCGGGGCCGCUCUCCCGCAGCCCUCUGAGCUCAGGACGCCGAGGUGGGGGCGGGAGGAGGGGCCGAGGGGGCGGGCCCAGGCAAGUUCCCAGUUACAAAUACCGCUGUUCUUGGGAGGCCUAGCUGGAGAACUUCGCCCCCAAACACGCCUAUUGCCUCCCACAAGGCGCCGUGACUUCCACUGUUGGGUCCUACACUUUUCCCAGGAUCCUGGGGCUCCUUAGUCUGUUUGGUGGCCUGGAGGUGGGGUGUGGCCCGGAGCCUCCAGGCGACCUAGUGACCCCGUCUCCACCUCUACCCCCAUUUGGCGUGGCUCCGCCAAAAUUCACUGAGACAAGUUUCGACCCUUCUAGAAGGGAGCAAGGUGCAGGAUCGUCAGAGGGUCUGCCUCUUCCUGGAAUGUGAAGAAGUUGGGCAGAUGAAGAUGCAAGAGAAGCCUAGAGGGCCCCGGGCUAGGAAGCCAUAUUAACCUUGCAUCCCACCCAAAGCCCCGAGUUUGCAUUUGCACACCUCUGUCCCAUGCAGAUCCAGUGGGUCGCAUGUGCCAGGCUUAAGCUGAGUCACCUGACUGUACAAGAACUGUACAUGCAGUCCUACCUGAAAACACAUGCUAGAAUUAGAGGAGCACUAAGAACAGAAUUUGAGGAUAAAAGAAGUGUCCACUGCCAUAAUCUUUCCAGCGCAUGUCCCAGUUGUCCAGAUGCUGACAAAAGCCACGGUGUGGUUGGAGAGUGACCCCAGGCACAUGGGGGCAUACACACAGGAAGCCCCACAUGGGGAUAUUGAGGGCCUAUGAGGAUGCAGUCUUCGAAACCAAGGGGUUCCUCCUACAGGGAUGUUGCCUCCCAUGGGAAAGAUUUUGUUGAGCGGACUGAGUGAAAGGUUUGAGGUCAAGUCCAGGAGACUAUAAAGAGCACCUCCCCCAUCCCAAAGCUGACCCUUUUCCCUUGCUCCCGGCUGGUCUGGAAACACACAGAAGAGGGCAAUCCAGGAAAAGUUGAUUUGGACCAGGAUGGUUUAUUUGUUGUUAUUAUUAUUGGUUUAGGAGAUUGCAUGCUGUGGGAGGAUGAGAGAGCAUAGGGACCUCACUCAGUGUGCACCCUGAUCGGGUUCAGGAGUUGGGAGGGCCCUGAUUUUGCCCCCACCACAACUACUCUUAUGCUAAAUUCAGUCUUUAAAAAGAAGGCUAGCUCAACUCCACACUUCCCUGCGUUCACUUCCAGCCCAGUCCCUUUGUAUAAAAUAAGUCUGCAAAAGAAGGCUCCAAAGAACACUGAAUUAUUUUUAUUAAACUAGUUUUCUUUGUGAGAUAUUGGGCAGUUCAAACCCCCUCCUCCCCUGUCCCAGGCAGGACCCCCGUCCGUGGGGGUUAGGAUUUAAGAGGAGGGAGUGAUUCCUAGAGUAGCUCUCCUAGAAAGGCCCAAACAAGUGCACAGAUUUGUUUUUGGUUCCAUCUCCGUUUGCCUGCCUAGUGUGGGUGAACCUUCCAGACAGUAGCCACCAUGGUUUUCCUGCACUGGAUGCAGUGGUGCCCUUCGUUUCACUUCACUUCCCUCCCUGACUCUCUCUCUCUGUCUCUGAAAGUAGAGGGUAAGUUUGGGAAGAUUGUUUUAGACAAAAAAAAAAAAAAAA